RNAcentral lists this ribosomal RNA (1477 nucleotides) under uncultured bacterium. RNAcentral's name for it is "16S ribosomal RNA". It matches the Rfam family "Bacterial small subunit ribosomal RNA". The record is from RNAcentral.
GACGAACUCUGGCGGCGUGCUUAACACAUGCAAGUCGAACGGAAAGGCCCUGCUUUUGUGGGGUGCUCGAGUGGCGAACGGGUGAGUAACACGUGAGUAACCUGCCCUUGACUUUGGGAUAACUUCAGGAAACUGGGGCUAAUACCGGAUAGGAGCUCCUGCUGCAUGGUGGGGGUUGGAAAGUUUCGGCGGUUGGGGAUGGACUCGCGGCUUAUCAGCUUGUUGGUGGGGUAGUGGCUUACCAAGGCUUUGACGGGUAGCCGGCCUGAGAGGGUGACCGGCCACAUUGGGACUGAGAUACGGCCCAGACUCCUACGGGAGGCAGCAGUGGGGAAUAUUGCACAAUGGGCGGAAGCCUGAUGCAGCAACGCCGCGUGCGGGAUGACGGCCUUCGGGUUGUAAACCGCUUUCGCCUGUGACGAAGCGUGAGUGACGGUAAUGGGUAAAGAAGCACCGGCUAACUACGUGCCAGCAGCCGCGGUGAUACGUAGGGUGCGAGCGUUGUCCGGAUUUAUUGGGCGUAAAGGGCUCGUAGGUGGUUGAUCGCGUCGGAAGUGUAAUCUUGGGGCUUAACCCUGAGCGUGCUUUCGAUACGGGUUGACUUGAGGAAGGUAGGGGAGAAUGGAAUUCCUGGUGGAGCGGUGGAAUGCGCAGAUAUCAGGAGGAACACCAGUGGCGAAGGCGGUUCUCUGGGCCUUUCCUGACGCUGAGGAGCGAAAGCGUGGGGAGCGAACAGGCUUAGAUACCCUGGUAGUCCACGCUGUAAACGGUGGGUACUAGGUGUGGGGUCCAUUCCACGGGUUCCGUGCCGUAGCUAACGCUUUAAGUACCCCGCCUGGGGAGUACGGCCGCAAGGCUAAAACUCAAAGGAAUUGACGGGGCCCCGCACAAGCGGCGGAGCAUGCGGAUUAAUUCGAUGCAACGCGUAGAACCUUACCUGGGUUUGACAUGGAUCGGGAGUGCUCAGAGAUGGGUGUGCCUCUUUUGGGGUCGGUUCACAGGUGGUGCAUGGCUGUCGUCAGCUCGUGUCGUGAGAUGUUGGGUUAAGUCCCACAACGAGCGCAACCCUUGUUCACUGUUGCCAGCACGUUAUGGUGGGGACUCAGUGGAGACCGCCGGGGUCAACUCGGAGGAAGGUGGGGAUGACGUCAAGUCAUCAUGCCCCUUAUGUCCAGGGCUUCACGCAUGCUACAAUGGCUGGUACAGAGAGUGGCGAGCCUGUGAGGGUGAGCGAAUCUCGGAAAGCCGGUCUCAGUUCGGAUUGGGGUCUGCAGCUCGACCUCAUGAAGUCGGAGUCGCUAGUAAUCGCAGAUCAGCAACGCUGCGGUGAAUACGUUCCCGGGGCUUGUACACACCGCCCGUCAAGUCAUGUAAGUUGGUAACACCCGAAGCCGGUGGCCUAACCGUUGUGGGGGAGCCGUCGAAGGUGGGACUGGUGAUUAGGACUAAGUCGUAACAAGGUAGCCGUACCGGAAGG